Molecule: ribosomal RNA, 450 nt
Filed under: uncultured prokaryote
Description: bacterial SSU rRNA
Rfam family: Bacterial small subunit ribosomal RNA
Source: RNAcentral
UCGGGAAUUUUGGGCAAUGGGCGCAAGCCUGACCCAGCAACGCCGCGUGAGGGAUGAAGGCCUUCGGGUCGUAAACCUCUGUCGGGAGGGAAGAACGGUUUCCGUUCGAACAGGGCGGGAAUCUGACGGUACCUCCAAAGGAAGCACCGGCUAACUCCGUGCCAGCAGCCGCGGUAAUACGGAGGGUGCGAGCGUUGUUCGGAAUCAUUGGGCGUAAAGCGCGUGUAGGCGGCUUGGCAAGUCGGGUGUGAAAGCCCGGGGCUCAACCCCGGAACUGCACUCGAAACUGCCUCGCUAGAGUCCCGGAGAGGAAGGCGGAAUUCCCGGUGUAGAGGUGAAAUUCGUAGAUAUCGGGAGGAACACCAGCGGCGAAGGCGGCCUUCUGGACGGUGACUGACGCUGAGACGCGAAAGCGUGGGGAGCAAACAGGAUUAGAUACCCCUGUAGUCC